Molecule: ribosomal RNA, 479 nt
Filed under: uncultured Comamonadaceae bacterium
Lineage: Bacteria; Pseudomonadati; Pseudomonadota; Betaproteobacteria; Burkholderiales; Comamonadaceae
Description: bacterial SSU rRNA
Rfam family: Bacterial small subunit ribosomal RNA
Source: RNAcentral
AAACUUAAAUGAAUUGACGGGACCCGCACAAGCGGUGGAUGAUGUGGUUUAAUUCGAUGCAACGCGAAAACCUUACCCACCUUUGACAUGUACGGAAUCCUUUAGAGAUAGAGGAGUGCUCGAAAGAGAGCCGUAACACAGGUGCUGCAUGGCUGUCGUCAGCUCGUGUCGUGAGAUGUUGGGUUAAGUCCCGCAACGAGCGCAACCCUUGCCAUUAGUUGCUACGAAAGGGCACUCUAAUGGGACUGCCGGUGACAAACCGGAGGAAGGUGGGGAUGACGUCAAGUCCUCAUGGCCCUUAUAGGUGGGGCUACACACGUCAUACAAUGGCUGGUACAGAGGGUUGCCAACCCGCGAGGGGGAGCCAAUCCCAUAAAGCCAGUCGUAGUCCGGAUCGCAGUCUGCAACUCGACUGCGUGAAGUCGGAAUCGCUAGUAAUCGCGGAUCAGAAUGUCGCGGUGAAUACGUUCCCGGGUCUU